UACGAAGGGAGCUAGCGUUGCUCGGAAUCACUGGGCGUAAAGCGCACGUAGGCGGAUUGCUAAGUCAGGGGUGAAAUCCUGGAGCUCAACUCCAGAACUGCCUUUGAUACUGGCGACCUUGAGUCCGGGAGAGGUGAGUGGAACUGCGAGUGUAGAGGUGAAAUUCGUAGACAUUCGCAAGAACACCAGUGGCGAAGGCGGCUCACUGGCCCGGUACUGACGCUGAGGUGCGAAAGCGUGGGGAGCAAACAGG
RNAcentral lists this ribosomal RNA (253 nucleotides) under uncultured bacterium. RNAcentral describes it as "partial 16S ribosomal RNA". It matches the Rfam family "Bacterial small subunit ribosomal RNA", at positions 524 to 776 of the family's 1533-position model. The record is from RNAcentral.